GCAGCAAUGCAUCACCGGCGGACGGGUGCGUAACACGUGGGAAUGUACUUACUGGCUCGGAACAACUCAGGGAAACUUGAGCUAAUACCGAAUGAGCCCGAAAGGGGAAAGAUUUAUCGCCAGUAAAUCAGCCCGCGUUCGAUUAGCUAGUUGGUGAGGUAAUGGCUCACCAAGGCUCCGAUCGAUAGCUGUUCUGAGAGGAAGAUCAGCCACACUGGGACUGAGACACGGCCCAGACUCCUACGGGAGGCAGCAGUUGGGAAUCUUGGACAAUGGGGGAAACCCUGAUCCAGCCAUGCCGCGUGAGUGAUGAAGGCCUUCGGG
Molecule: ribosomal RNA, 324 nt
Filed under: uncultured bacterium
Lineage: Bacteria
Description: bacterial SSU rRNA
Rfam family: Bacterial small subunit ribosomal RNA
Source: RNAcentral